GGCUCCACCUAGUGUUAACAGUUCCUGCUGGUUUGACCUGUGCCAAGCUGGGCAACCGUGCUAAAUCUACAUGUGCUGCAAAUGAAAGUGAAUCAUAAAUUACUGCAUGUGAUUGUCAUGGAACUGAAAGACAAACCUGCACACCUAAGGUAAAAAAAAAAAAGAGGUUUUAUUCAAUUACAUUUGUAUUCAAUUUUAUUUAUGUAGUUCUUCAUAUUUUUAUUUAUAUAGUGCUUUUAAUAAUGAACAAAGCAGCUUUACAGAAAUCUUCAUACAUAUUUCUUUCUUUUUCUUUUUUUUUUUCGCGUUAAGCAUGCCAAUCCUAGUUUAUUGGUGUUUUUUCAUGUUUUUAUCCAGGCAUAAAUUUCAUGAGUUUUCAGUCUGAGCCAUGUUGUAAAACAGCCGAGUCCCCAUCUGAUGUCUGGUAUAGAGGCUAUUAUUUCCUAAUACAAUAAAUAUACUUUGGGGGAAACUAAGGAACUGUUAGUGGAAUUAGGGACACUUGCACGCCUGUAAUUCAAGUUCCCUUUCCUCAUGAAGCCUCAGCAAUCAAGCAAGGGAUACUGAACAUUUUCUUUUACUUACCAGUCCAUCCAUUAAUUAAUAUAAUAGAAAUAUGUUUUGAUGUUAUUUGUGAUUAACAUUGUAGCGGGUGGCAGCAUGGUUUAGUGAAAGUCUGCAGUGGGAGGGUGGGAUUUGGGGGAUGAGCUGGAAGGGUGAUGCAUGAUGUGACACACCUCUAUUUCGGAAGUCUACCAGAAGCAAUCUGUCUGCCAACUUACAGAAAAAUGCAUCCAAUCUGAUUGGGAGAAACUUCAUCAGACAGCAAGAAAAUGACCAAAAACACACUGCCAACACAACAAGGUGUGGGGGUGGGGGUGAGCUUUUAGACUGGCCAAGUCAAUCACCAGACCUUAGCCCAGUUGAGCAUGCAGAGGAGACUGAAGGGAGAAACCUCCCAAAACAAACAACACCUGAUACAAGCCUGGAAAAGUAUCACAAAAGAUGAAUGAAAGAGUUUGGUGAUGUCAGUGAGGUGCCGGUUUGAUACAAACAAUGGAUAUGCAACCAAAUAUUAUGUGUUAUUUACUUUCAUUUACUUUUAGACCGUCUGUCCCUAUACCUUUGCUCACCUAAAAAUCGGGUGAUGUGCCUGUUCUAAGUUGUUUAACACAUCUAGAUGUAAAUAUCAGGACAUGAAAGCUGAAAGCUCUUGUCUCGUAUUCGUCUUUUGAUCUCAAGCUCAAAUGUCAU
Ictalurus punctatus (channel catfish) is the source of this 1254-nucleotide long non-coding RNA. NCBI's taxonomy places the organism in Eukaryota, Metazoa, Chordata, Actinopteri, Siluriformes, Ictaluridae. The record is from Ensembl.